This 403-nucleotide ribosomal RNA is filed under the name bacterium. Its description in RNAcentral is "partial 16S ribosomal RNA". It matches the Rfam family "Bacterial small subunit ribosomal RNA", at positions 355 to 776 of the family's 1533-position model. The record is from RNAcentral.
GGGGGAAUAUUGCACAAUGGGGGAAACCCUGAUGCAGCGACGCCGCGUGAACGAAGAAGGUAUUCGUAUCGUAAAGUUCUGUCCUAUGGGAAGAUAAUGACAGUACCAUAGAAGAAAGCUCCGGCUAAAUACGUGACAGCAGCCGCGGUAAUACGUAUGGAGCGAGCGUUGUCCGGAAUUAUUGGGCGUAAAGGGUACGAAGGCGGUUUAAUAAGUCGAAUGUUAAAGAUCGGGGCUCAACCCCGUAAAGCAUUGGAAACUGAUAAACGUGAGUAGUGAAGAGGAAAGUGGAAUUCCUAGUGUAGUGGUGAAAUACGUAGAUAUUAGGAGGAAUACCAGUCGCGAAGGCGACUUUCUGGACACAAACUGACGCUGAGGUACGAAAGCGUGGGGAGCAAACAGG